This 278-nucleotide ribosomal RNA is filed under the name uncultured bacterium. Its description in RNAcentral is "partial 16S ribosomal RNA". It matches the Rfam family "Bacterial small subunit ribosomal RNA", at positions 29 to 334 of the family's 1533-position model. The record is from RNAcentral.
AACGAACGCUGGCGGCAGGCUUAACACAUGCAAGUCGAGCGCAUCCUUUUAGGGUGAGCGGCAGACGGGUGAGGAACACGUGGGAAUCUACCCAACCCUACGGAAUAAUCUCGGGAAACUGGGACUAAUACCGUAUACGCCCUACGGGGAAAGAUUUAUCGGGGAUGGAUGAGCCCGCGUUGGAUUAGCUAGUUGGUGGGGUAAAGGCCUACCAAGGCGACGAUCCAUAGCUGGUCUGAGAGGAUGAUCAGCCACAUUGGGACUGAGACACGGCCCAA